UAGGUGGGGUGGUGGAGGUGGUUUGUUAGGGGGGAGAGAAUACAACUAUGUCAGUUUGAGAUUCUAUCAAUUGUUAUUUUUAUUUUAAUGAUCCACUGUGAUUGGCUGAGAGGAUUUGGUCAGUCAAUUGGAUUCCGUGGAGCAUGUGCAGAAGACAGCCUGAACCCAGUGGAUCCUUAAAACACACAGUGGCUGGAAGGAUCAGAGAAGCCUCGACCAACAUUAUGUAUCAAGGUCUUUUUCUUUCCACCAAAUGUCAGGUAGUAAGGCUCGUCCAAUAGGAAUCCAGCUCUGUGCGCAUGCAGGCCUGAACGUUCGGGGAACGGCGCCCACUAAAUUGGCUGAGGAAGAAAAGUAAGGCCUCCUGGAACUUCUUGGUGAGCUUCUCGAUGACGCUGUAGCUCUCCACGUAGUCCACGUGGUCGUCCAGGGGCUCGCUGGCCAUCUGCCUCAGGGUGUUCAUGUCCACGCGGCCCACAGCCGAUGGAGAACAGCUCGAUGCCGGCGUCGCGGCGCGCUGGGCCCCCUCCUUCACGUUGUCCUGGGGCCGCCCGUACCGUCACGAUGAUGGCCACCUGCCAACAGAGGGUCACAGAGGGUCAGAGUGUUUUUCAUAUCAGCAUGUCAAAGUCACUAUUGGCAAUAAAAGGAUUGAAUUGCAAGCCUGACAAGAAACUGACCGUGACACUGAAAACGUGAAUAGAAAUAACAUUUUAUAAUAUCUGCCACUGUGCUCAGGUUGUCAUGCCUAUUUAUUCCCUCUGCUCCCAUCACAUCCCUGCUGUAUCUUCACAAAUGUUUAUUGUACUGAACUUUAGGAUUAGUGUUUUUUUAGACUUGUUUCUCACUUUUAUUUUAGAGCGGAAAGUUUUGUACUGCAUCUGUUCAUACUUCAGUUAAAGACAUUUUGAUUA
This is a long non-coding RNA of Gadus morhua (Atlantic cod), 914 nucleotides long. RefSeq lists it as uncharacterized. The record is from RefSeq and is a predicted model, not a curated record. The transcript is spliced from 2 exons. Lineage: Eukaryota; Metazoa; Chordata; Actinopteri; Gadiformes; Gadidae.